CAUUAAAGAGUUCUAUAACUCCCAAACCCAUGUGAACAUACCUAACGUUGCCUCGGCAGGUCGCACCUACCUUGUAGCACCCUACCCUGUAGGGCCUACCCGGGAGGUGCGGGUAAGCCUGCCGGCGGCCCACCAAACUCUGUUUGAUAUUGAAUUCUGAACCUAUAACUAAAUAAGUUAAAACUUUCAACAACGGAUCUCUUGGUUCUGGCAUCGAUGAAGAACGCAGCGAAAUGCGAUAAGUAAUGUGAAUUGCAGAAUUCAGUGAAUCAUCGAAUCUUUGAACGCAUAUUGCGCCCAUUAGUAUUCUAGUGGGCAGGACCGUUCGAGCGUCAUUUCAACCCUUAAGCCUUCGUUGCUUAGUGUUGGGAGCCUACGGCAACGUAGCUCCUCAAAGUUAGUGGCGGAGUUGGUUCACACUCUAGACGUAGUAAUUUUUUAUCUCGCCUAUUAGUUGGACUAAUCCCCUGCCGUAAAACCCCCAAUUUAUCAAGGUUGACCUCGAAUCGGUUCAGACAAACUCGCUAAAUUGAAGCAUCUUAGUCAGCGAAGGAAAAGAAACCAACAGGGAUUGCCCUAGUAACGGCGAGUGAAGCGGCAACAGCUCAAAUUUGAAAUCUGG
This 622-nucleotide ribosomal RNA is filed under the name fungal endophyte. RNAcentral's name for it is "eukaryotic LSU rRNA". The stretch from base 182 to 335 matches the Rfam family "5.8S ribosomal RNA". Lineage: Eukaryota; Fungi. The record is from RNAcentral.